RNAcentral lists this ribosomal RNA (557 nucleotides) under uncultured bacterium. RNAcentral describes it as "bacterial SSU rRNA". It matches the Rfam family "Bacterial small subunit ribosomal RNA", at positions 102 to 694 of the family's 1533-position model. The record is from RNAcentral.
ACGGGUGAGUAACACGUGGGAACGUACCCUUUUCUACGGAAUAACCCAGGGAAACUUGGACUAAUACCGUAUGUGCCCUUCGGGGGAAAGAUUUAUCGGAAAAGGAUCGGCCCGCGUUGGAUUAGCUAGUUGGUGGGGUAAAGGCCUACCAAGGCGACGAUCCAUAGCCGGUCUGAGAGGAUGAUCAGCCACAUUGGGACUGAGACACGGCCCAAACUCCUACGGGAGGCAGCAGUGGGGAAUAUUGGACAAUGGGCGCAAGCCUGAUCCAGCCAUGCCGCGUGAGUGAUGAAGGCCUUAGGGUUGUAAAGCUCUUUCACCGGAGAAGAUAAUGACGGUAUCCGGAGAAGAAGCCCCGGCUAACUUCGUGCCAGCAGCCGCGGUAAUACGAAGGGGGCUAGCGUUGUUCGGAUUUACUGGGCGUAAAGCGCACGUAGGCGGAUCGAUCAGUCAGGGGUGAAAUCCCAGAGCUCAACUCUGGAACUGCCUUUGAUACUGUCGAUCUGGAGUAUGGAAGAGGUGAGUGGAAUUCCGAGUGUAGAGGUGAAAUUCGUAGA